This 252-nucleotide ribosomal RNA is filed under the name uncultured prokaryote. RNAcentral's name for it is "partial 16S rRNA". It matches the Rfam family "Archaeal small subunit ribosomal RNA", at positions 475 to 726 of the family's 1478-position model. The record is from RNAcentral.
ACCGGCAGCUCAAGUGGUGGCCAUUUUUAUUUUUCCUCCCCCCUUCCCCCCCGGUUUGACCAUUCUCUCCAAAAAUCCCUCAUCUUAACUUGUUUACUCUCGGGAGAUACUAUUAGACUUGAGGUCGGGAGAGGUUAGGGGUACUCCCAGGUUAGGGGUGAAAUCCUGUGUUGAUGGUGUUUUUUUGUAUUUGUUUUUCGUCGGGCUGGAACGAACCUGACGGUGAGUAACGAAAGCCAGGGGCGCGAACCG